This 477-nucleotide ribosomal RNA is filed under the name uncultured bacterium. RNAcentral's name for it is "bacterial SSU rRNA". It matches the Rfam family "Bacterial small subunit ribosomal RNA", at positions 30 to 507 of the family's 1533-position model. The record is from RNAcentral.
AUUGAACGCUGGCGGCAUGCCUUACACAUGCAAGUCGAACGGUAACAGGUUAAGCUGACGAGUGGCGAACGGGUGAGUAAUGUGUCGGAACGUGCCUAGUCGUGGGGGAUAACGUAGCGAAAGCUACGCUAAUACCGCAUACGAUCCAUGGAUGAAAGCGGGGGACCUUCGGGCCUCGCGCGAUUAGAGCGGCCGAUAUCAGAUUAGGUAGUUGGUGGGGUAAAGGCCCACCAAGCCGACGAUCUAUAGCUGGUCUGAGAGGAUGAUCAGCCACACUGGGACUGAGACACGGCCCAGACUCCUACGGGAGGCAGCAGUGGGGAAUUUUGGACAAUGGGCGCAAGCCUGAUCCAGCCAUUCCGCGUGCAGGACGAAGGCCUUCGGGUUGUAAACUGCUUUUGUACAGAACGAAAAGCCUUGGGUUAAUACCCUGAGGUCAUGACGGUACUGUAAGAAUAAGCACCGGCUAACUACGUG